This 1211-nucleotide ribosomal RNA is filed under the name Eutetramorium sp. CSM-2006. RNAcentral's name for it is "eukaryotic LSU rRNA". It matches the Rfam family "Eukaryotic large subunit ribosomal RNA", at positions 54 to 944 of the family's 3401-position model. Lineage: Eukaryota; Metazoa; Arthropoda; Insecta; Hymenoptera; Formicidae. The record is from RNAcentral.
AGGAAAAGAAACUAACCAGGAUUUCCUCAGUAGCGGCGAGCGAACAGGAAAGAGCCCAGCACCGAAUCCCGCGGUUCCGCCGCAGGGAAAUGUGGUGUUUGGGAGGGUCCGCUUAUCCCGAGGUGUCGCGUCGCGUCCAAGUCCAUCUUGAAUGGGGCCACUUACCCGCAGAGGGUGCCAGGCCCGUAGCGACCGGUGCGCGUCUCGGGAGGAUCUCUCCUUAGAGUCGGGUUGCUUGAGAGUGCAGCUCUAAGUGGGUGGUAAACUCCAUCUAAGGCUAAAUACGACCACGAGACCGAUAGCGAACAAGUACCGUGAGGGAAAGUUGAAAAGAACUUUGAAGAGAGAGUUCAAGAGUACGUGAAACCGUUCAGGGGUAAACCUAAGAAACCCAAAAGAUCGAACGGGGAGAUUCAUCGUCAGCGACGCUGGCUUCGCGUCGGUGGGCGAUGUCCCGCGGGGCCUCGCGGCUCGCGCGCGGACACGCUGCCGUGCGUCGAUGUCCGGCGUUCGUCGUCGUGCACUUCUCCCCUAGUAGAACGUCGCGACCCGCUGGGUGUCGGUCUACGGCCCGGGUGCGGUGGCUGACGCGUCGCCGGUAAAACGGCACGCGUCAAACCCCCGGUCGCCCGGCCGGCUGCCCGGCGGUACACGCAAGGUAUCAGGCCGCACAUUACUACUCUCACGGUAGUGCGUCGAGGCCGUCGCAAGCGCCCCGCCACGGUACACGGAGGCUAACGGACCUAGCGCCGUCACCGGUCCUGGCACGCUGUUGGUCGUAACGGAUAACCUUCGACAGGCCUGCGAACGUCCCACCGGGUUUCGUAUCCGGUGGGACCGAUACCGGUCGGCGACGCUACUGCUUUGGGUACUCUUAGGACCCGUCUUGAAACACGGACCAAGGAGUCUAACAUGUACGCGAGUCAUUGGGACUAGCGAUACCUAAAGGCGUAAUGAAAGUGAAGGUCGGCCCUGGUUGUCGACCGAGGGAGGAUGGGCCGCGUCGCGAUGCGGCUCCGCACUCCCGGGGCGUCUCGUUCUCAUCGCGAGAAGAGGCGCACCCAGAGCGUACACGUUGGGACCCGAAAGAUGGUGAACUAUGCCUGGUCAGGACGAAGUCAGGGGAAACCCUGAUGGAGGUCCGUAGCGAUUCUGACGUGCAAAUCGAUCGUCGGAACUGGGUAUAGGGGCGAAAGACUAAUCGAACCAUC